UACGGAGGGUGCAAGCGUUGCUCGGAAUUACUGGGCGUAAAGCGAACGCAGGCGGUUCACUAAGUCGGGCGUGAAAUCCCUGGGCUCAACCCAGGAACUGCACUCGAAACUACUUUUCUUGAGUGCCGGAGAGGAAAGCGGAAUUCCUGGUGUAGAGGUGAAAUUCGUAGAUAUCAGGAGGAAUACCAGUGGCGAAGGCGGCUUUCUGGACGGUAACUGACGCUGAGACGCGAAAGCGUGGGGAGCAAACGGG
RNAcentral lists this ribosomal RNA (253 nucleotides) under uncultured bacterium. RNAcentral's name for it is "partial 16S ribosomal RNA". It matches the Rfam family "Bacterial small subunit ribosomal RNA", at positions 524 to 776 of the family's 1533-position model. The record is from RNAcentral.